This 649-nucleotide ribosomal RNA is filed under the name uncultured bacterium. RNAcentral's name for it is "partial 16S ribosomal RNA". The record is from RNAcentral.
UACGGUUACCUUGUUACGACUUAGUCCCAGUCACCAGUCUUACCGUCGGCCGUCGCAUCCUUGCGGUUAGCUAAACGGACUUCGGGUACUCCCGGCUUCCAUGACUUGACGGGCGGUGUGUACAAGGCUCAGGAACACAUUCACCGCGUCGUGGCUGAUACGCGAUUACUAGCGAUUCCAACUUCAUGGAGUCGAAUUUCAGACUCCAAUCCGAACUGGGGCCGGCUUUGUGCGAUUUGCUCCACCUCUCGGUAUCGCGUCGCUCUGUACCGGCCAUUGUAGCACGUGUGACACCCUGGGCAUAAAGGCCAUGAUGACUUGACGUCGUCCCCACCUUCCUCCGGCUUAACGCCGGCGGUCUCGCUAGAGUCCCCGACAUGACUCGCUGGCAACUAACGAUAGGGGUUUCGCUCGUUAAGGGACUUAACCUGACACUUCACAGCACGAGCUGACGACAGCCAUGCAGCACCUGUGCACGUUUCACCCGAAGGCAGCCUGCUCCUGUUUCCAAGAGAGCAUCCGUGCAUGUCAAACCCAGGUAGGGUUCUGCGCGUUGCUUCGAAUUAAUCCACAUGCUCCACCGCUUGUGUGAGCCCCCGUCAAUUCCUUUGAGUUUUAGCCUUGCGGCCGUACUCCCCAGGCGGCGUAC